Molecule: long non-coding RNA, 433 nt
Organism: Tribolium castaneum (red flour beetle)
Lineage: Eukaryota; Metazoa; Arthropoda; Insecta; Coleoptera; Tenebrionidae
Exons: 3
Source: RefSeq, a predicted model, not a curated record
UACGUAAAUAAAAUGAUAAAAAACGAUAAAAAUUUGUAUAAAAUAAAAGACGAUUGGCUCAAAUCAUUCAUUUCACACAAAAAUGAAACUCUUAUUCAUUGUCUUACUUUCUGUAGUACUCUACAAUAGUGUUUCAGGAAUACUGAAGUGCUACGAAUGCACUGGAGAAGAAGAAUGUUCUAAAAGUUUAGAAGACCAGAAAGACACUUGUGGUGAUAAACAAAGAUAUUGUACCAGUGGAUUGAAACCCAAUAUAGACGAUGAUGGAGUGACAAAAUUCAGAGAAUGUUUGUACGGAAGUGUUGAUGCAGAUUUGGAAGAAUAUUGUGAUUGGAUGGUCCGUAGGGGAGGAGAGUGUUACUGGUGUAAAGAAGAUUAUUGCAACGAAAAAAUAACUUCAAAACAAUAAAUAAUAAUAAAAAUUUUGAAAUUA